AUUGAACGCUGGCGGAAUGCUUUACACAUGCAAGUCGAGCGGCAGCGCGGGGGCAACCCUGGCGGCGAGCGGCGAACGGGUGAGUAAUAUAUCGGAACGUACCCCGUCGUGGGGGAUAACACAGCGAAAGCUGUGCUAAUACCGCAUACGACCUGAGGGUGAAAGCGGGGGAUCGCAAGACCUCGCGCGAUGGGAGCGGCCGAUAUCGGAUUAGCUUGUUGGUGAGGUAAAGGCUCACCAAGGCGACGAUCCGUAGCUGGUCUGAGAGGACGACCAGCCACACUGGAACUGAGACACGGUCCAGACUCCUACGGGAGGCAGCAGUGGGGAAUUUUGGACAAUGGGGGCAACCCUGAUCCAGCCAUUCCGCGUGAGUGAAGAAGGCCU
Molecule: ribosomal RNA, 387 nt
Filed under: uncultured bacterium
Lineage: Bacteria
Description: bacterial SSU rRNA
Rfam family: Bacterial small subunit ribosomal RNA
Source: RNAcentral